UUAUGCAAGAAAAAUAAGACAGAAAAAAAGAAGAGCAUUGUAAAGCUACAAACACCUCCUGGAGUUACAAUGGAAAGAAGAGUGUUCACAGGUCACUGUGGCUUUAUGCCUGACAAAGGGCAAAACAAAUUUUGACCAUUUUACUGUGGGUACAAGAACAUGCAUCAUGUGUUCGGGGAUGAGGGGGAGGGUUUCAAAAGCUUUUAUUACUGAGUAGUGGCUUCCCACCAUGAGUUAAUGCCUCUUUACAUGCAACCCUUGCAAAUAACUCUUCCUUGACAAACUUAAGGAGUAGUAGACCCACACAGACAGAGCCUGACUUGCAUCGAUGUCCAUGGGUCCUUGGGAAUCUGAUCUGAUGUCUCUCAGGACCUUGCCAAAUCAAUCACCUCUGGUGCUGUGUUCCUGCAUCCAGUGGAACUCUGCAUGGAGAUUGCCAGGGAUGCUGGCACAGAGGAAAGAUUUGCAUUCCCACUGCUUGCUCUUGCCACAACUAAAUAACUGAAACCCACAGUAGGGAGGGUGUCUGCCUGUGAUGCUCUGCCUCCUGCCACCUGAUCUCCCAGCCAUUCAGUCCUUCCCUCUGCUUUCCAGCCAGCAGCAGCUGAGAGCCAGCAAGCCCCAGCUGGAAAGGGAACAGCCUGGCCGAGACAGAGUUCAUCUCUUACAGAGGUGCUGCUCCAGGCUGUGGGAAGCUGGAGCUCUCUGCAUCCCGCCAGCCUCCUCCAAGGGGCUGGAGCACAGGGAGCCUGUCCCAGUGUGAGGGAACCUGUCACCUCAGGAGUGAAAGGCUUUAUCUUUCCUUGGCUACACCAACAGUACCACUGGAUGUCACUGUUGUUUCAUGAAAGACAAAAUCUUACUGUGAUCUUUUUAACAGAUAACGUUUGGUAAAUAAAUAUAUGUGUAUUUAUAUUCUCUUCCCCAUAACUUUUCUGCACAAGGAUUGCAACCUCCUGGCUCUCACUCACAUUUUCGAUGACUAUUUUACAGCAACUUUGUUCAUGGGUCCCUUUGUGGCACUCUAAGAUAUCUUUUCUGUAAAGGAUUUCUUUUUGCCAUGGUAGAUGUAAAGCAUGGCCAAGCUGCCACAAUAAAUUUCAAUUUUUUUUUUUGCUUCCA
Pseudopipra pipra is the source of this 1122-nucleotide long non-coding RNA. RefSeq lists it as uncharacterized. The transcript has 2 exons. The record is from RefSeq and is a predicted model, not a curated record. NCBI's taxonomy places the organism in Eukaryota, Metazoa, Chordata, Aves, Passeriformes, Pipridae.